GGCGCAGCUCCCGGGCGGCUCCACGGCCUUCUCGCAGAACACGGCGCAGGCGCCGGGCGGAGAGCUUAGCAGAGCCACUGCGAGGGUCAGCCGCGCGCAGAGGGUGUGAGCGGCGAGUAGCUGCCGGCGCCUGGGGAGCGGGGGUCGUGUGGGCGGCGAGCCAGGCCGGCGCCUGCGCGGGGCGGGCGGCCUGGGAGCGCGGGCCGGCGUCGGGAGUAUCUCUGGGAGCCUUCCACAGAAGUAUGUGGAUCCUUUAUCUGGAGCUGCUGGCCAAAGAGGAAAAAAGACAUUAAAUGGACAAGUAGAAGGUAAUGUUAACAAAACUUACAGAUUUGUCAGCAGAACUAGACUUAGAAAUGAGACAUGAGAGGAAGAACAAGAAAAAUCUGAUGGAGAUGAAAAUAAC
Molecule: long non-coding RNA, 406 nt
Organism: Cervus elaphus (red deer)
Lineage: Eukaryota; Metazoa; Chordata; Mammalia; Artiodactyla; Cervidae
Exons: 3
Source: RefSeq, a predicted model, not a curated record